Molecule: long non-coding RNA, 6248 nt
Filed under: Heterocephalus glaber (naked mole-rat)
Lineage: Eukaryota; Metazoa; Chordata; Mammalia; Rodentia; Bathyergidae
Description: lncRNA (ENSHGLG00000037533.1)
Source: RNAcentral
CCGGGAUUUACAUAGAGGCAGGCCCAGGAGGGAGGGAUUUGUGCAGAAGUGCCCUUUACUAGGAGUAAAAUCCAGCCUUAAAGGCACUGGUCUACGGCUCUGUUCAUAGGGAGCUCUCAAAUACAUGGGCACAGGGCUCCUCUGUUCCCCCAGGAGAUACAGAAAGAAGUGGCACCCCCAGUGCUGUCCCAGCGUGCUCAGAGCUGAGAGGGAAGCUGGCUGAGCCAGGUCUCAGGACUGCAGGAGGCCCUGGGUGUGACAGUGUGAUGUGGACAGGACCUGUAGAGACGGUGCUUAGCUUCUAGCUUUUGGGGCCUCUUGUUCCCGUGUCAAGUGGGGUGCCUUGUUAUGUCAUGGAGGAUAAACUAAGGUCACAAAGAACAUAAAAACUACAUUUCAUCUGGGUUGUGGCUUGGCGGGGGUACCCACAACACAGGGCCUGACCUUUCCAGGCAUUUCUCCAUGAAAUAACACGGCAACGCCUGUUCCCCUUUCCCAGACUCCAGGCUCUGCAGGCCGCCUGCCCGGCCUGGCCUGGUGCUCUCCCUCUCUUCCUAGUAGGUCUUUCCUCCUUUGUUUCUGGUCAGCCCAUUCAGAUGUAGGCAAACAACUGAUUUCCCUCUCACAAGAGAAACUAAAUAUUGUUUUAACAUCAGAUUUGAGCAGAAUCAGAAUCCUUGCAGCCUGUUUUGAAAGUGUGACUGCAAAAGAUAGAAAGGUCCAGGGGAAGCGUUAGCUCGGGGGUCAGGCCUGCUGCGAAAGUGGAGGACGGCAGAGCCCUUCGGGAUCCCAUCAGGAACUCUGGGACUCAGAGCUGGGAUCUGGCAUGGUGAGACCCGGUUGGUGCUGAUUGGUCAGGCCUUUCCUUAAACCUCAGCCUAAAAGAAAUUGUCCGUUAAAAUAGGAAAUUUCGCAAAGGGUGUUAUCCUGCCCUGAAACCUGCUUCCUGCCUGCAUCUUCCGCCAUGGCCUCUUCUCUCCAGUCUCGUCCUCCUCAGAGCCCUGCUCAGGGUGCCCUGGCCACCCACUCACCCACCUCUGUUCAGCCUGUGCAGAAGGAAGGAGCUGUUAAUUCCCCUCCUCCUACUGCCUCCCGCCCUGCUUGGGAUGGGUCCCUUGGAGAACAGGGACCCCACCCUUAGAACACCCCCCUCACUACAUUCAUCUGGAAAUGGUGAUAUAAGCCUCAAGCAUCACUUUUUGUGAAUCUUUGCCUGAUUUACUCUCGUCAUCUCCUAUCUUCGGGAAAUCGUACACCAAUCCCUGGGAAAGGAAAGGCCGGAAGGGUCAGGGUGAGUCUGCUUCUCUGUUUAGUUUGUCUGUGACUCUCCAGGGCCCAGGGCGCAGCCAUAUGAGCAUGAAACCAAAGCAGAGAGCCCACCAGCCCAGCAGUGAGCCGUGCCCAGGCCUGUGUGCCACCGUGGAGACUUGGGUCUCUGUGGAGCCCGUCUCAAGGAGCAGCCCGUCUCAAGGAGCAGCCCCCCCCCCCCCGGCUUGGCUGCUGGAAGGAGCAGAGCCCUGGCUCGGAGGGAAUGCCAUAGUCUCUCUCCAGGGUGCAAAGAUCCCGAGACCAUCACAAAGUCAGCCACUUGCCGGAGGCACACGUAAACCCCAGGUGACCAAGCAGGUGGCUUCUGGGGGCCAGGAUGCUUCUUUACAGACCCAGAAGGGCAGGUGAGAGAGGCAGAUGGAGGCCAGGGAUGGGGAAGGAAAUGACAUAAUGGGGCUCCUGGAUUUGGAGGAGCAUUUUCCCAAUUCUGUAACCCCUCAGGGUCCACCUCACACUCUUUGUGACCGCCAUGACUGCCACGGAGAGGGAAGUUGGCGGUGACAGAGCAGUCCCUGUCUUGCCUGGGGUGGCAGCCAUGUGUCUGAGUUCACAGCACUGUACACUGACAAAGAGUGAGUUUUCCCACAGGUAGUUACAGCCCUGUGGGGAUGGAUAGCAGGGACCACAGCACUGCAGAGUGGCUGAGGAAAGACGCAUUUAAACCACAAACACAUGCAGGUGUCAGGGGCCAUCAGUGUAGGAAGCCCCUCUCCAUUAGAUGCCUUGCCUGGCAGGGAACCCUGCCUUUCAGUCCAUACAGAGUGAGCAGAAAAGCAACAUGGUUCCACCAGCCUCUGCCUGGAAAGGGGAGACAGGCACCAAUUUCAUAAGACCCAAGAGCUCACAAUGGGUCCUCUUGCCAGGUGGACCUGAGCUCCUCAUUAGAGCCUGUCAUUGCCGCCUCAUGGCUCUUGGGACAAAGUCCUAAAUCCUUAAUGUGCUGCUGGACAAACUCCUCCCACUCGGUGAUCACCAGCACCUCAGGGGAUGAGUGUCACCAGCUCCUGUCCAGGCUGCUCCAGCCCAUGCUGCCCACCCCAGACCCUUUGCACACACUGUUCUCUUUGCUUGGGGCCCUUCCUGUCCUCUUGCCCAUUCCCUCUUCCCCUAGAGGGUUCCCCUGUGUCCGUUGCACGAUGUCAUCACCAACAGUCUUCCCUGAGAUGCCUGCUGCCAGGCCAGGGCAAGGUCUUGAUUACACCAUCUCAUGGAAGCGAGGUUCCUCUCCUGUGGAGGUCUUGCUCCAGUGUAGAUUGGAAUUCCACCCUUUUGAGAUUACUAAUGAAUACCUCUCUUUGCGACUAACUCCAGGCCCCCCCUGACUGUGCAGGCUCCCGUAGUUGCCUGUCCCCGUGUCCCCACCUGCAUGUAGCCCCAAGCAGAGUCUUCAGGUGGGGGUGACUACCCGGAGAGUUGUCUCGGUGGCAGGGGUCUCAGGAUUGUGGUGUGGUGCUGGUAUUGUGAUCUACUUAGGAUAAGAGUGAAACAAGGGCUCAGUGUCACAACCUACAGCUGAUCAAUUUGCUGGAGUCUGUGUCCGGUUCCUGGGGCAGCCUGGCCCAAAUACAUUGCCUUUGGUGUCUUCUUUACAUCCACCUGGAGGCCCUAAGGCUGGCAGGGUGGUUCUGAUGGAAGUAAAACCCACAAAUGGAUGCAGCCAGAUGGGCAGGAACCCUGAGGGCGCCAGCUGGUCAUGCCCUUCCGUCCUCCCCAUCAUCAGGAAAUCUGCACUCCUGGCUUGUCCCCAUGCAGUAAAUUGAGGCCAUUUAAAGGACAAAGCAAGACUAACAUCAAAGUGUGCCUCACUGUGACUUCCCAGGCCCUAUAGUGUGUGAGCGGCUUGUAGGACCCAGCCUGUGUGGGACUUGAUGUGACCAGCUGCUGUGGAGCCCUCAGGUUGACGGCCACCAGCUCAAGCUGUAGGACUGUGGCCAGUCAAGACACAUGUGGGGGACGAAGCCCAAGUAUUUCGCUGCCACUGCCACUGCUGAGUGGAGUAUCCCAGCCUCUAGAGUUGAGUGGGCCCUCGCCUGCUGUGAUUUAUUACUUACUGAUUUAUUACUUAUGUAUGGCUCCAGGGCAAGGGGCAGUGUGAAUACUCAAAUGAUUGAAUGCUCAUGUUUUGCCAGUGACUGAACAGUGCUAAGGGGAGGAAUGGAGUGGUGCUGUCCAUCUAGGGUCUUUAAAAGUAGACCAGAAAGACAGAGUUCGUGACUCGGGAAGAACUCCACACUCAGGACCUCCACAUGUGCAUAUUUACAGUGGAAACCUGAGGCCUGGGGACAGGCUAACACCAAGGUCCUUGGCCACUAGUGACUUCUUGCCGUCACUUGAAGCUGCCUCUCCAUCAUCACCCUGAGGUCACCAGGCUGCAGGCUGGAACAGAGUGCAGCAACUCUCUGGGACAUGAAGGGUAGAUGUGGUCAAGGCUCCAGGGCUGUGCCCUAGGGGUCACCAGGAUGGGAAUUCAGGCCUACCCCAGCUUCUGCUGUGACCCUGCAUGUCCUCACGCCAGAGCUGGGCACUAGGAAAUGAAGACUUUGAAGAACUGUGGUUCUACCAGGCUCAUGGACAUGAGAGCUGAUUCACCCGGGAUGCUCAGGAUGACUGGGGCGUGUGCUGACAGGUCAGGGACAGCAAGUUUGGGUUUGUGAGUGUGCAUAGGUGUGCACAUGUGUGUGCAUGGCAUUUGUGCCUUUGUUAGGAACUUGUACCCACAAGCCAUGUGGCCAGUGUGCGGCUAGGACUUGGCUCCACAGUUCUCUCUGGGAGGUCUAGGCCCCAGUGACCUGCAUGCCCUCGCCCUCAGGGACACCGGACUCAACGUUGCUUAUGGCUCUUGGCCCUUUAGCUGGCGGUGCUUUCUGGGGAAAGUGUUCUACAGUGAUGCUGGAACCCAUGCCACCGCCCGAGAUGACACAGAGCUAUCAGGUAGGGGUAUUUUCUCUUGAAGACCCCAGGACUGGGCCAGAGAAACCCAGUGGUGACUUUGGCUGUGCCAGGCCAGGUGAGUCCCUGUGUGGUACGUGUUCCUCUUAUUGGAGGCCACUGUGAACCCCUCAGUUCCUGCUGUCAGGGGAGAGCAGAGGUCACACUGCCCAGGCGAGCUGCUUGUCCCUGCAGGGAAGGUGGGCUUUGUUAGGGAAACAUUGAGGCCUCCGUGUACAGCGCCUGUACUUUUGUCCCUGCCAGCUAGGGUUUUACUACCUGUUGAUAUUUCAGAGUCUCAGUGACAGAGCUUCUUCCCCUCCAUCCAGCUCUCUUUUCUACCCUCCCACUCCAGCCACAGCAUAAACUGGGCUUUUAAAAAGUUCUCCAGUUCUGCCAGGAAACUUAAUGAGGCUUACAGGGGCUUUAAUGAGGUCUCAAGUUACUCAAGGACAGAGAAACUGCCUCACAGGAGCUUGAGGGGAGUUUAUUCUUUGCUUCUUCAUGGCUGACUGGAUCACGCAUGGCCACAAAUCCCUCCUCAGCCUCCACACUUCUCUUCCACCCACAGAGAGCCUGCUACUGGUCCAGCAACUGGCAACUUGUGACUGUAGGGGAUGUCAGGCCUGGGGAUGGCAAUACAAGCGUCCUCACAUAGCAACCAGAGCAGGGAUGGGUGCCAGGAGUGCUCUCGGGUUGCUCCCCACUGCCCAGCUCACCCCUGACCAGGAAAGGGCCUCAGAGAGCAAGGGUGUGCCUGUCCCCUGGCCUAAGUCCUCUCCCACACCAUCCCAGUAAUGUCACACCCUGUUCCUCUCUGCCACCUCCUGCAUCAGAGGAUCUAGAAGGAAGGAUGAGAGCCCUUGCCCAGUCCCCAGGGGGAGCCCUAUCCCCAGGGGCAUCUUCUGACAGCCAGCAUCUUGGGGGAGGGAACAGAGAGAAGCCCUUGUUCUCUGAGGACACAUGUGCUGGUGGGUGGAAGGAAGGAAGGGCUUGGCGGGACCAGAGGGAGGAGGCUGUUCCCAGGUGAGUGUCCGGCAGGUGCAGCCCUUGUGCUUCAGGGAGGGGGAGCCCCAGGGGGUGGACCAGGCUGGGGGAGGUGAACAGAGUCUUCGGAAAGUGGUGGUCUUGGUCAGGGGACUUGUGUGUGACUGGGUUCCACUGGCUCAGUCUCCUGCUGGCCGGGGAGCUAGGCACUUGCAUGCCGCACCCCCUCUGCUCUUGUGGCUCCUGGUGAGGUAGUGCAGGGGCUCCUCCUCCUCAUGCCAUCCAGCCAGCAGUGUAGAGAGAAGACUCGCUGGAAGGAAUGGCAGAAAUUGUUGGAGAGGAAGCUGCAGAGAUGGGUUGGCGCAGCUGUUGGUGUAGCUGAGGAUGAGGGACACGUGGCUGACAGUGACUUUGAGGCUGGUGACAAACAGAUUCAGGAAUUGCUCCACCUGACACAGCAUCCAGCAGAACACAGGGAUGCCCACCUUGGUGAGCACAAGAAUGGUGAUCUUCUCUGAGGCUUUUGUGCUGCUGCCAGCCGGCCCUAGGGCCACUUGCCUGAAAGAAGCAAGUAGUGCAGACCAAUGUCCAGUGUGAUUGCAGGAAGCCUACCAGGAAUGUGUGGAUCAUGGAGACCUUGACUCUGCCACAAGCAGCCAGGCCAGGAAAGGUACCAAGCGGGAAGGGGCUCCCCGCCCACCACCAGGCUCGACAGGUACUGAAUAAAAAGUGCUGCAAGCUAGGGGGCUUUUGUCUUUGCUGCCCAGAGCCGCACUGAUCAGACCCAAAGCUCAGCUUCUUCUCAGUCUCAUUUUUCUACCUUUCCUGCACUUAGCCGUGUGCUGCUGUGGCUCGCAGGAGACUAGGACUUACUGCAGAGGUUCUGGUAACGUCCCCUUCCCCUGUUCCCUACACCCUGCCCACCAGGCCUGCUGGGCAUACAUGAGAUGCUGUUGCAGGUGGCCGUGGUCCCCAGGCCGUCUCCACCUGGGGGUGGUCCUGGC